GACGAACGCUGGCGGCGUGCUUAACACAUGCAAGUCGAACGGAAAGGCCCUGCUUUUGUGGGGUGCUCGAGUGGCGCACGGGUGAGUAACACGUGUGUAACCUGCCCUUGACUUUGGGAUAACUUCUGGAAACUGGGGCUAAUACCGGAUAGGAGCUCCUGCUGCAUGGUGGGCGUUGGAAAGUUUCGGCGGUUGUGGAUGGACUCGCGGCUUAUCCGCUUGUUGGUGGGGUAGUGGCUUACCAAGGCUUUGACGGGUAGCCGGCCUGAGAGGGUGACCGGGCACAAUGGUACUGAGAUACGGCCCAGACUGCUACGGGAGGCAGCAGGGGGGAAUAUUGCACAACGGGCGGAAGCCUGAUGCAGCAACGCCGGGUGCGGGAUGACGGCCUUCGGGUUGUAAACCGCUUUCGCCUGUGACGAAGCGUGAGUGACGGUAAUGGGUAAAGAAGCACCGGCUAACUACGUG
RNAcentral lists this ribosomal RNA (468 nucleotides) under uncultured bacterium. RNAcentral describes it as "partial 16S ribosomal RNA". It matches the Rfam family "Bacterial small subunit ribosomal RNA", at positions 28 to 507 of the family's 1533-position model. The record is from RNAcentral.